Molecule: transfer RNA, 71 nt
Filed under: uncultured Succinivibrio sp.
Lineage: Bacteria; Pseudomonadati; Pseudomonadota; Gammaproteobacteria; Aeromonadales; Succinivibrionaceae
Rfam family: tRNA
About the family: Transfer RNA (tRNA) molecules are approximately 80 nucleotides in length. Their secondary structure includes four short double-helical elements and three loops (D, anti-codon, and T loops).
Source: RNAcentral
ACGUUUAGCUCAGUUGGUUAGAGCAUCUGCCUUACAAGCAGGGGGUCACAGGUCCGAGUCCUGUAACGUCC